GCGGCUGUGGCGGAAUUGGCAGACGCGCUAGAUUCAGGUUCUAGUGGGAGUAUAUCCCGUGGAGGUUCGACUCCUCUCAGCCGCA
RNAcentral lists this transfer RNA (85 nucleotides) under Phycisphaeraceae bacterium. Its description in RNAcentral is "tRNA-Leu". It matches the Rfam family "tRNA". Rfam says of the family: Transfer RNA (tRNA) molecules are approximately 80 nucleotides in length. Their secondary structure includes four short double-helical elements and three loops (D, anti-codon, and T loops). Further hydrogen bonds mediate the characteristic L-shaped molecular structure. tRNAs have two regions of fundamental functional importance: the anti-codon, which is responsible for specific mRNA codon recognition, and the 3' end, to which the tRNAs corresponding amino acid is attached (by aminoacyl-tRNA synthetases). tRNAs cope with the degeneracy of the genetic code in two manners: having more than one tRNA (with a specific anti-codon) for a particular amino acid; and 'wobble' base-pairing, i.e. permitting non-standard base-pairing at the 3rd anti-codon position. The record is from RNAcentral. RNAcentral also lists the same sequence under 1 other name. Lineage: Bacteria; Pseudomonadati; Planctomycetota; Phycisphaerae; Phycisphaerales; Phycisphaeraceae.